GCUUUGGCGGGCCGUGGCCUCCACUGCGGGCUCUGCUCGUGUGUGCCCGCCANAGGACCAAACUCUGAAUGUUAGUGAUGUCUGAGUACUAUCUAAUAGUUAAAACUUUCAACAACGGAUCUCUUGGUUCUGGCAUCGAUGAAGAACGCAGCGAAAUGCGAUAAGUAAUGUGAAUUGCAGAAUUCAGUGAAUCAUCGAAUCUUUGAACGCACAUUGCGCCCUGUGGUAUUCCGCAGGGCAUGCCUGUUCGAGCGUCAUUUAACCACUCACGCCUAGCGUGGUAUUGGGGCACGCGGUCUCGCGGCCCUCAAAAUUAGUGGCGGCGCCGGUGGGCUCUAAGCGUAGUACAUACUCCCGCUAUAGAGUUCCCCCGGUGGCUCGCCAGAACCCCCAAUUUUUUACAGGUUGACCUCGGAUCAGGUAGGGAUACCCGCUGAACUUAAGCAUAUCAAUAAGCGGAGGAAAAGAAACCAACAGGGAUUACCUCAGUAACGGCGAGUGAAGCGGUAACAGCUCAAAUUUGAAAGCUGCCAACAGGCCGCGUUGNAAUUUGUANAAGCUGCUUUGGGUGUCGGCCCGGUCUAAGUUCCUUGGAACAGGACGUCAUA
This 608-nucleotide ribosomal RNA is filed under the name Ascomycota sp. RT-2012b. RNAcentral describes it as "eukaryotic LSU rRNA". The stretch from base 104 to 257 matches the Rfam family "5.8S ribosomal RNA". Lineage: Eukaryota; Fungi; Ascomycota. The record is from RNAcentral.